AUAAAUUUAAAAGUUAAAAAGGUCUUUAUUAAAAAAUUUUAGGGGCUAAUUUUUAAAUUAUUAAGGCUUCGUUUGUCACUGUGUUUGCGAAUAAAAAUUGCUAGUUUGCAACACACCCCGAAGAGGACCGUAAAAAAAUUAAUUAUAUAUAUAACCUAAUUAUCAACGGAUAUAGUUAAAAAUAUAUGCAGUUAAAAUACAACAGUUAUAAUUAUAUGUAUUUUAUUUUGUUGGGUAGAGUAAUAAGUGUUAAAAUUAUAAAUAAUUUAUUUAGUUGUGUAUACUUCAGAGACAUAUUUCCAAAAUUUUCGUACUUUAUAUAUGUCGUGGUUAGGGAUGCAAACAGGGCGAAUGCAGGGGUGGGCCACAGAGAGGGGUCCCCCAUCUCCCGCUUCGUUUCAU
RNAcentral lists this long non-coding RNA (402 nucleotides) under Ananas comosus (pineapple). RNAcentral describes it as "long non-coding RNA (ACOM_LNC039237)". The record is from RNAcentral. Lineage: Eukaryota; Viridiplantae; Streptophyta; Magnoliopsida; Poales; Bromeliaceae.